GACGAACGCUGGCGGCGUGCUUAACACAUGCAAGUCGAACGGAAGGGCCCUGCUUUUGUGGGGUUCUCGAGUGGCGAACGGGUGAGUAACACGUGAGUAACCUGCCCUUGACUUUGGGAUAACUUCAGGAAACUGGGGCUAAUACCGGAUAGGAGCUCCUGCUGCAUGGUGGGGGUUGGAAAGUUUCGGCGUUUGGGGAUGGACUCGCGGCUUAUCAGCUUGUUGGUGGGGUAGUGGCUUACCAAGGCUUUGACGGGUAGCCGGCCUGAGAGGGUGACCGGGCACAUGGGGACUGAGAUACGGACCAGACUCCUACGGGAGGCAGCAGGGGGGAAUAUUACACAAUGGGCGGAAGCCUGAGGCAGCAACGCCGCGUUCGGGAUGACGGCCUUCGGGUUGUAAACCGCUUUCGACUGUGACGAAGCGUGAGUGACGGUAAUGGGUAAAGAAGCACCGGCUAACUACGUG
This 468-nucleotide ribosomal RNA is filed under the name uncultured bacterium. RNAcentral's name for it is "partial 16S ribosomal RNA". It matches the Rfam family "Bacterial small subunit ribosomal RNA", at positions 28 to 507 of the family's 1533-position model. The record is from RNAcentral.